AGAGCUUGCUCUCUGAUUUUAGCGGCGGACGGGUGAGUAACACGUGGGCAACCUGCCCUACAGAUGGGGAUAACUCCGGGAAACCGGGGCUAAUACCGAAUAAUCAGUUUGUCCGCAUGGACAAACUCUGAAAGACGGUUUCGGCUGUCACUGUAGGAUGGGCCCGCGGCGCAUUAGCUAGUUGGUGGGGUAAUGGCCUACCAAGGCAACGAUGCGUAACCGACCUGAGAGGGUGAUCGGCCACACUGGGACUGAGACACGGCCCACACUCCUACGGGAGGCAGCAGUAGGGAAUCUUCCACAAUGGACGAAAGUCUGAUGGAGCAAUGCCGCGUGAGCGAAGAAGGUUUUCGGAUCGUAAAGCUCUGUUGUAAGGGAAGAACACGUACGGGAGUAACUGCCCGUGCCAUGACGGUACCUUAUUAGAAAGCCACGGCUAACUACGUGCCAGCAGCCGCGGUAAUACGUAGGUGGCAAGCGUUGUCCGGAAUUAUUGGGCGUAAAGCGCGCGCAGGCGGUUCUUUAAGUCUGAUGUGAAAGCCCACGGCUCAACCGUGGAGGGUCAUUGGAAACUGGAGAACUUGAGUACAAAAGAGGAAAGCGGAAUUCCACGUGUAGCGGUGAAAUGCGUAUAGAUGUGGAGGAACACCAGUGGCGAAGGCGGCUUUCUGGUCUGUAACUGACGCUGACGCGCGAAAGCGUGGGGAGCAAACAGGAUUAGAUACCCUGGUAGUCCACGCCGUAAACGAUGAGUGCUAAGUGUUAGGGGGUUUCCGCCCCUUAGUGCUGCAACUAACGCAUUAAGCACUCCGCCUGGGGAGUACGGCCGCAAGGCUGAAACUCAAGGAAUUGACGG
RNAcentral lists this ribosomal RNA (856 nucleotides) under Sporosarcina psychrophila. RNAcentral's name for it is "bacterial SSU rRNA". It matches the Rfam family "Bacterial small subunit ribosomal RNA", at positions 75 to 916 of the family's 1533-position model. The record is from RNAcentral. Lineage: Bacteria; Bacillati; Bacillota; Bacilli; Caryophanales; Caryophanaceae.